GCUGGAAACUCACCAAGAUCUGCUUACCU
RNAcentral lists this non-coding RNA (29 nucleotides) under Cricetulus griseus (Chinese hamster). The record is from RNAcentral. Lineage: Eukaryota; Metazoa; Chordata; Mammalia; Rodentia; Cricetidae.